GAAUAUAUAAUUCGGACGGGACCGGCUUUGUCUGCAAAGAUGACUAGUUAACGGCCGCGGUAUUUUGACCGUGCGAAGGUCGCGCAAUCACUUGUCUUUUAAAUGAAGACCUGUAUGAAUGGUGGAACGAGGGCUUAACUGUCUCCCUCUUCAAGUCAAUGAAAUUGAUCUGCCCGUGCAGAAGCGGGCAUACCCAUAUUUCGACAGGAAGACCCUUUGGAGCUUAAGAUGUAAGAUCAACUAUAUCAAGAAUUACCAAAAUUAAUUAAACUAAAUAGCAACUGAUCCCUAUCUUCGGUUGGGGCGACCACGGGAGAAAACAAAGCUCCCACGCGGACUGGGGACACCCCCUAAAACUAAAAAAAGACAUCUCUAAGUCACAGAACAUCUGACCACAAAGAUCCGGCCGCCGGCCGAUCAACGGACCAAGUUACCCUAGGGAAUAACAGCGCAUUCCUCUUCCCAGAGUCCAUAUCGACAGAGGGUUUACGACCUCGAUGUUGAAUCAGGACAUCCUAUGGUGCAGCCGCUAUUAGGGUUCGUUUUGUUCAACGAUAAGUUCUACGUGAUCUGAUUCCAACCGGAUCGUCCUGUUUUUAAAUCAUAUUCUGAUCUGAUUUCACACGGGUGG
RNAcentral lists this ribosomal RNA (631 nucleotides) under Mystus oculatus (Malabar mystus). RNAcentral describes it as "partial large subunit ribosomal RNA". It matches the Rfam family "Bacterial large subunit ribosomal RNA", at positions 1872 to 2634 of the family's 2925-position model. The record is from RNAcentral. Lineage: Eukaryota; Metazoa; Chordata; Actinopteri; Siluriformes; Bagridae.